Molecule: ribosomal RNA, 466 nt
Filed under: uncultured bacterium
Lineage: Bacteria
Description: partial 16S ribosomal RNA
Rfam family: Bacterial small subunit ribosomal RNA
Source: RNAcentral
CUACGGGGGGCAGCAGUGGGGAAUAUUGGACAAUGGGGGAAACCCUGAUCCAGCAAUGCCGCGUGUGUGACGAAGGCCUGCGGGUUGUAAAGCACUUUCGGUUGGGAGGACUGCUUCUAGCACUAAUAUUGUUGGAAGUUGACGUUACCUUCAGAAGAAGCACCGGCUAACUCCGUGCCAGCAGCCGCGGUAAUACGGGAGGGUGCAAGCGUUAAUCGGAAUUACUGGGCGUAAAGCGCGCGUAGGCGGCUAGAUCAGUCGGGUGUGAAAGCCCCGGGCUUAACCUGGGAACUGCAUCCGAUACUGUCGAGCUUGAGUACAGGAGAGGAGAGUGGAAUUCCACAUGUAGCGGUGAAAUGCGUAGAUAUGUGGAGGAACACCAAUGGCGAAGGCAGCUCUCUGGCCUGAUACUGACGCUGAGGUGCGAAAGCGUGGGGAGCAAACAGGAUUAGAUACCCCUGUAGUC